UGUUAAGUUACUAAGGGUGUACGGUGGAUGCCUUGGCAUCAGAAGGCGAUGAAGGGCGUAGCAAGCUGCGAUAAGCCUCGGGAAGCCGCAAGCAGGCCGUGAUCCGGGGAUGCCCGAAUGGGGAAACCCAGGCGAUGAAUGCCGCCUAUCCGUCACUGAAUCCAUAGGUGACGUGAAGCCAACGCGGGGAAGUGAAACAUCUCAGUACCCGCAGGAAGAGAAAGCAAUUGCGAUUCCCUGAGUAGUGGCGAGCGAAACGGGAAUAGCCUAAACCUCAUGUAUGUCAAGCCUGUGCGCGUUGUACAUGAGGGGUUGUAGGCCUGCAUUGGACACCGGUACAGCGGUGUCAACGAGUGACAAACCAGCCUGUUAGCGGAAUGGCCUGGAAAGGCCAACCACAGAGGGUGACAGUCCCGUAUGCGAAAACAGGUUGGCUCGUUGGAUGCAGGUCCUGAGUACCACGGGGCUCGAGAAACCUUGUGGGAAUCCGGGAGGACCACCUUCCAAGGCUAAAUACUCUCUGAUGACCGAUAGUGAACCAGUACCGUGAGGGAAAGGCGAAAAGAACCCCGGUGAGGGGAGUGAAAUAGAACCUGAAACCGUAUACCUACAAGCAGCGAAAGGGCUAUGCCCCGCAAGGGGAAUGCCUGAUCGCGUGCCUUUUGCUUAAUGAGCCGGCGAGUUAUUCUGCGUAGCAAGGUUAAGUUGACAAGACGGAGCCGUAGCGAAAGCGAGUCCGAAUAGGGCGUCCAGUUGCGCGGAAUAGACCCGAAGCGAGGUGAUCUACCCAUGGCCAGGGUGAAUCCGUCGUAACAGAUGGAGGAGGCCCGAACCGUUGUUUGUUGCAAAAAGCUCGGAUGAGCUGUGGGUAGGAGUGAAAGGCUAAUCAAACCUCGUAAUAGCUGGUUCUCCCCGAAAUAGCUUUAGGGCUAGCCUUGGAGUAACCGUGGCGGAGGUAGAGCACUGGAUGGGCUAGGGGCGUUAUCGCGCUACCGAACUCAACCAAACUCCGAAUGCCGCUACUGGAUCUCCAGGAGUCAGACUACGGGCGCUAAGGUCCGUGGUCAAAAGGGAAACAGCCCAGACCGCCAGCUAAGGUCCCCAAUUGUAAGCUAAGUGGGAAAGGUUGUGGGUAUGCUCAGACAGCCAGGAGGUUGGCUUAGAAGCAGCCAUCCUUGAAAGAGUGCGUAAUAGCUCACUGGUCGAGUGCGCCUGCGCCGAAAAUGUAACGGGGCUCAAGCUUACAACCGAAGCUGCGGGCUUGUCCCUUACGGGAUGAGCGGUAGGGGAGCAUUCUCUGGGAGGCGAAGGUCGACCGACAAGGACGGCUGGAUCGCAGAGAAGAGAUUAUGCCGGCAUAAGUAGCGAUAAACGAUGUGAGAAUCAUCGUCCCCGUAAGCCUAAGGUUUCCUGGCCAAUGUUCGUCAGGUCAGGGUUAGUCGGUCCCUAAGGCGAGGCCGAAAGGCGUAGUCAAUGGGAAACAGGUCAACAUUCCUGUACCAUCAUGUUCGCGUUAUCAACGAAGGGGGGACGCAGAAGGGUAGGCACCGCCGGGUCCCUGGAAUACCCGGUCCAAGCGUGUAGGCGGGAUUCGCAGGCAAAUCCGCGAAUCCGUUAACGCCGAGGCGUGAUGGGGAGGCCGCAAGGCCACAAACGGGCUGAUCCCACACUGCCGAGAAAAGCCUCGUAGUGAGUGGGCAUGGUGACCGUACCGCAAACCGACACAGGUAGGCGAGUGGAAUACACUCAGGGGCGUGAGAGAACACUCCCUAAGGAACUCUGCAAACUAGCCCCGUAACUUCGGGAGAAGGGGUGCCUCGCGUACGUGAGAGGACUUGCUCCUUGAGCGGAACGAGGUCGCAGUGAAAUGGCUCUGGCGACUGUUUACCAAAAACACAGGACUCUGCUAACUCGUAAGAGGAUGUAUAGGGUCUGAUGCCUGCCCGGUGCUGGAAGGUUAACUGGAGAUGUCAGCCGCAAGGCGAAGCUUCGAAGGGAAGCCCCAGUAAACGGCGGCCGUAACUAUAACGGUCCUAAGGUAGCGAAAUUCCUUGUCGGGUAAGUUCCGACCUGCACGAAUGGCGUAACGA
Molecule: ribosomal RNA, 2090 nt
Filed under: Nitrospira sp.
Lineage: Bacteria; Pseudomonadati; Nitrospirota; Nitrospiria; Nitrospirales; Nitrospiraceae
Description: partial 23S ribosomal RNA
Rfam family: Bacterial large subunit ribosomal RNA
Source: RNAcentral